UGAGCAACCUGCCCUUCUCUUUGGAAUAAGCGUUGGAAACGACGUCUAAUACCGAAUACGACCUCCUUUCGCAUGAUCGGAGGUGGAAAGCUCCGGCGGAGAAGGAUGAGCUCGCGGCCUAUCAGCUAGUUGGUGUGGGUAACGGCCCACCAAGGCGACGACGGGUAGCCGGCCUGAGAGGGUGACCGGCCACACUGGGACUGAGACACGGCCCAGACUCCUACGGGAGGCAG
Molecule: ribosomal RNA, 233 nt
Filed under: uncultured bacterium
Lineage: Bacteria
Description: partial 16S ribosomal RNA
Rfam family: Bacterial small subunit ribosomal RNA
Source: RNAcentral